Molecule: ribosomal RNA, 274 nt
Filed under: uncultured bacterium
Lineage: Bacteria
Description: partial 16S ribosomal RNA
Rfam family: Bacterial small subunit ribosomal RNA
Source: RNAcentral
AUACGGAGGGUGCAAGCGUUACUCGGAAUCACUGGGCGUAAAGCGCGCGCAGGCGGCCCGAUAAGUUGGAAGUGAAAUCCUAUGGCUUAACCAUAGAACUGCUCCCAAAACUGUCGGCCUAGAGUCUGGGAGGGGAAGACGGAAUUAGUUGUGUAGGGGUAAAAUCCGUAGAGAUAACUAGGAAUACCAAAAGCGAAGGCGAUCUUCUGGAACAGUACUGACGCUGAGGCGCGAAAGCGUGGGGAGCAAACAGGAUUAGAAACCCUUGUAGUCC